RNAcentral lists this ribosomal RNA (528 nucleotides) under uncultured bacterium. Its description in RNAcentral is "bacterial SSU rRNA". It matches the Rfam family "Bacterial small subunit ribosomal RNA", at positions 355 to 899 of the family's 1533-position model. The record is from RNAcentral.
UGGGGAAUCUUGGACAAUGGGGGCAACCCUGAUCCAGCCAUGCCGCGUGAGUGAUGAAGGCCUUAGGGUCGUAAAGCUCUUUCGCCUGUGAAGAUAAUGACGGUAGCAGGUAAAGAAACCCCGGCUAACUCUGUGCCAGCAGCCGCGGUAAUACGGAGGGGGUUAGCGUUGUUCGGAAUUACUGGGCGUAAAGCGCACGUAGGCGGACCAGAAAGUUGGGGGUGAAAUCCCGGGGGCUCAACCCCGGAACUGCCUCCAAAACUAUUGGUCUAGAGUUCGAGAGAGGUGAGUGGAAUUCCAAGUGUAGAGGUGAAAUUCGUAGAUAUUUGGAGGAACACCAGUGGCGAAGGCGGCUCACUGGCUCGAUACUGACGCUGAGGUGCGAAAGUGUGGGGAGCAAACAGGAUUAGAUACCCUGGUAGUCCACACCGUAAAACGAUGAAUGCCAGUCGUCGGGUAGCAUGCUAUUCGGUGACACACCUAACGGAUUAAGCAUUCCGCCUGGGGAGUACGGUCGCAAGAUUAAAA